RNAcentral lists this ribosomal RNA (253 nucleotides) under uncultured bacterium. RNAcentral's name for it is "partial 16S ribosomal RNA". It matches the Rfam family "Bacterial small subunit ribosomal RNA", at positions 524 to 776 of the family's 1533-position model. The record is from RNAcentral.
UACGUAGGGUGCGAGCGUUGUCCGGAAUUACUGGGCGUAAAGGGCGCGUAGGUGGUUAUUUAAGUGAGAUGUGAAAGCCCCGGGCUCAACCUGGGAACUGCAUCUUAUACUGGGUAACUGGAGUACAUGAGAGGGUAGUGGAAUUUCCGGUGUAGCGGUGAAAUGCGUAGAUAUCAGGAGGAACACCUGUGGUGUAGACAGCUUACUGGACCAUUUCUGACGCUGAGACACGAAAGCGUGGGUAGCAAACAGG